GGGUGCGAUCAUACCAGCAAUAAUGCACCGGAUCCCAUCAGAACUCCGAAGUUAAGCUUGCUUGGGCGAGAGCAGUACUAGGAUGGGUGACCUCUGGGAAGUCCUCGUGUUGCACCCCUC
Molecule: ribosomal RNA, 120 nt
Filed under: Rosa chinensis
Lineage: Eukaryota; Viridiplantae; Streptophyta; Magnoliopsida; Rosales; Rosaceae
Source: RNAcentral